This 253-nucleotide ribosomal RNA is filed under the name uncultured bacterium. RNAcentral describes it as "partial 16S ribosomal RNA". It matches the Rfam family "Bacterial small subunit ribosomal RNA", at positions 524 to 776 of the family's 1533-position model. The record is from RNAcentral.
GACAGAGGGUGCAAGCGUUGUUCGGAUUUACUGGGCGUAAAGGGCGCGCAGGCGGUUCUGUUUGUCGAGUGUGAAAGCCCCGGGCUCAACCUGGGAACUGCGCUCGAAACGGCGGAACUAGAGUUCGGGAGAGGAGAGUGGAAUUCCCAGUGUAGAGGUGAAAUUCGUAGAUAUUGGGAAGAACACCCGUGGCGAAGGCGGCUCUCUGGGACGGUACUGACGCUGAGACGCGAAAGCGUGGGGAGCGAACAGG